This 469-nucleotide ribosomal RNA is filed under the name uncultured organism. RNAcentral describes it as "bacterial SSU rRNA". It matches the Rfam family "Bacterial small subunit ribosomal RNA", at positions 56 to 527 of the family's 1533-position model. The record is from RNAcentral.
UGCAGUCGACGGUAGGUCUCUUCGGAGAUACACGAGUGGCGGACGGGUGAGGAACACGUACACAAUCUACCUUAUACUGGAGAAUAGCCCUGGGAAACUGGGAUUAAUACUCCAUAGUCUUUAAUGAUUACAUGAGAAAUAAAGUAAAGCUUCGGCGGUAUAAGAUGAGUGUGCGUCCCAUUAGAUAGUUGGUGAGGUAACGGCUCACCAAGUCUACGAUGGGUAGCUGGCGUGAGAGCGCGACCAGCCACACUGGCACUGAGACACGGGCCAGACUCCUACGGGAGGCAGCAGUAGGGAAUAUUGGUCAAUGGACGCAAGUCUGAACCAGCCAUGCCGCGUGCAGGAAGACGGCCCUAUGGGUUGUAAACUGCUUUUAUAUAGGAAGAAACUUCUCUACGUGUAGAGAACUGACGGUACUAUAUGAAUAAGGACCGGCUAACUCCGUGCCAGCAGCCGCGGUAAUACG